Molecule: ribosomal RNA, 406 nt
Filed under: uncultured bacterium
Lineage: Bacteria
Description: partial 16S ribosomal RNA
Rfam family: Bacterial small subunit ribosomal RNA
Source: RNAcentral
AUUGAACGCUGGCGGCAGGCCUAACACAUGCAAGUCGAACGAGUGGCGGACGGGUGAGUAAUGUAUGGGAAACUGCCCGAUGGAGGGGGAUAACUAAUGGAAACGGUAGCUAAUACCGCAUACCAUCAGAUGGGCCCAGAUGGGAUUAGCUAGUUGGUGGGGUAACGGCUCACCAAGGCGACGAUCCCUAGCGGGUCUGAGAGGAUGAUCAGCCACACGGGAACGGAGACACGGCCCAGACUCCGACGGGAGGCAGCAGUGGGGAAUAUUGCACAAUGGGCGCAAGCCUGAUGCAGCCAUGCCGCGUGUAUGAAGAAGGCCUUCGGGUUGUAAAGUACUUUCAGCAGGGAGGCGUUACCCGCAGAAGAAGCACCGGCUAACUCCGUGCCAGCAGCCGCGGUAAUUC